GGGAAAUACAUUUCAGAUUAAGAGGUUAACUUUUCAAACUCUUUUCACAGCAAUUUUAAAUUGAAAGAAUAUGUGAAUGUUAGAAAAUGGAAGAAAAGAGCAUUUGACCAGAUGGAGAGAGCAAUGAGAAGCAAAAGAUGAGCAAUUAGCAGAGAAGUGGCUUCAUGUGGUGCAGAUGUUCCUGAAUGGACCAGUGAUAUCAAUGCCUGAAAUCUAGAUCUGUGGAAGAUGGAAUCUUCUUCCAAACAAAUCCUCUGACAGAUCGAGUAGCUAUCCACUUAAUACAAUUUCAAAAGAGCAAAAAGAACUACAAAAUAACUCUGAAAGAGAAAAAGAUUCUAUAGAAGAUGGCUUCACCAAUAGUAAUUGAUGGGAAUGAAGAAUUUAUAUAGCCUGCUUCCUGUCAUCUCACUCCUGAUUGAUGGGGAAAAAAAGAACCUAGAAGGCCAAUGAGACCAACAGGUAAGAAUUUUGUCACCUUUCCAAAGCCAGGAUGGAUCCAGAAAUUCUUCCUCUUGCCAGAUGAAACAUCAACUGUUGAAAUCCAGCUCCAGUAGUGAAAUAAAGGUGUGUUAUGCAAGGGCCAGGCAGAGAGAAGUUCAAUAUGAACUCUUGAAAUUUUAUUGAUCAAAAGGUUCUGAUAAAGGCCUCAUUUCCAAAAUAUAUAGAGAAUUAACUCUAAUUUAUAAAAAAUCAAGCCAUUCUCCAA
This 709-nucleotide long non-coding RNA is filed under the name Sarcophilus harrisii (Tasmanian devil). RNAcentral's name for it is "lncRNA (ENSSHAG00000027309.1)". The record is from RNAcentral. Lineage: Eukaryota; Metazoa; Chordata; Mammalia; Dasyuromorphia; Dasyuridae.